Sinocyclocheilus grahami is the source of this 716-nucleotide long non-coding RNA. RefSeq lists it as uncharacterized. Lineage: Eukaryota; Metazoa; Chordata; Actinopteri; Cypriniformes; Cyprinidae. The record is from RefSeq and is a predicted model, not a curated record. The transcript is spliced from 4 exons.
GACAGGAAAUAUCAAGGUAGUGUGCGCCUGCACCAUUUCCACGUCAGUAAGUUUGCCUGUGGAGGAGAUUAGCAACCGGUGACAGAAUAUCUGUCUAGUGCUAUUGCAGGAAAGCAGCAGGGCAUGACAACACUACGCGGAACUGUCUAAAAUAUUCACUAUGGUGGACAAGAGUAUAUACAUCGUUCAAGGGGAGAUUUCUGUUGUCGUUGCUGCUAUCAAGAGGAACUCUAGAUGGAGUACCCAUACUCCUUUGGAUGAAGAACAGGACCCACUACUCAACAGCUUCAGCCACUUGAAAGAGACCCUCAAUAACAUAAAAGGUUUUUCAGUUUGUAUUUAUGUUCCGCGUGGAAUCACCGAUACCGUGACGCGAGCACCGCCCCAACUGCACAAAACGCCCCCAUCAUGAGAGAAAGCUGCAGCCGCGCGAAGGCUCUUCACAGAGGACGCAGCAAGCGGCAAAACUGAGGCGGCGCCCGUGCCCUCGGUCCCGCGGUGGACGUUAAAAGCCCAAAUGACGCCACACUUCAGCUUUGUACACUGACACGGGAACUGGAACAAUUUUCAUCCUCCAUUACUAGCAGCGAACCAUAUUAACGGUAACAUUAGUGGCGUGCCCUAAUGCUUGUAUUUCCUGUCACUGUUUAAGUUCUGAGAUGAAGACUGCUAUUUAGUGGUCGGGAUAUAAACUCAAAAUGAAACCACUGCCAUGA